CGAGCCGACCGGGCGGCCGCGGUACCCCAUGGGAGUCCAUGCACUCCCUGCGGGAUCGAGGAACGUCCGGGCUCCACAGAGCAGGGCGGUUGCCAACAGCAACCCGGGGUGACCCGCGGGACAGUGCCACAGAGAGAAGACCGCCGCCAGACCACUGGCGGUCAGGGUGAAAGGGUGGGGUAAGAGCCCACCAGCGCGCCGGGCGACCGGCGCGGCUCGGCAAACCCCGCCCGGAGCAAGACCGCGCAGCAGGCGCUCGAGGGCUGCUCGCCCGAGCCUGCGGGUAGGUCGCGCGAGGCCGUCGGCGACGGCGGUCCAAGAUGGAUGGUCGCCACCGCCCAGGCCGGCGACGGCGGGCGGCAACAGAACCCGGCGUACAGGUCGACUCGUCCG
Actinomyces denticolens is the source of this 393-nucleotide non-coding RNA. NCBI's taxonomy places the organism in Bacteria, Bacillati, Actinomycetota, Actinomycetes, Actinomycetales, Actinomycetaceae. The record is from Rfam.